Molecule: long non-coding RNA, 553 nt
Organism: Oncorhynchus keta (chum salmon)
Lineage: Eukaryota; Metazoa; Chordata; Actinopteri; Salmoniformes; Salmonidae
Exons: 7
Source: RefSeq, a predicted model, not a curated record
CCAUUCUCUAGUAGUACUGUAGUUAGGUUAACACCAUUCUCUAGUAGUACUGUAGAGGUUAACACCAUUCUCUAGUAGUACUGUAGAGGUUAACACCAUUCUCUAGUUGUACUGUAGUUAGGUUAACACCAUUCUCUAGUUGUACUGUAGUUAGGUUAACACCAUUCUCUAGUUGUACUGUAGAGGUUAACACCAUUCUCUAGUUGUACUGUAGUUAGGUUAACACCAUUCUCUAGUAGUACUGUAGUUAGGUUAACACCAUUCUCUAGUAGUACUGUAGAGGUUAACACCAUUCUCUAGUAGUACUGUAGAGGUUAACACCAUUCUCUAGUAGUACUGUAGAGGUUAACACCAUUCUCUAGUAGUACUGUAGAGGUUAACACCAUUCUCUAGUAGUACUGUAGAGGUUAACACCAUUCUCUAGUUGUACUGUAGUUAGGUUAACACCAUUCUCUAGUAGUACUGUAGUUAGGUUAACACCAUUCUCUAGUAGUACUGUAGUUAGGUUAACACCAUUCUCUAGUUGUACUGUAGUUAGGUUAACACCAUUCUC